GUGACUGUGAGACAAGGGCAUGCAGCCUGCUGAGACCUGCCAGGGGCUGCUGGGGUCAGGGAAGAGAGCUCUCCCCCGGGAGCCGGGCACUGGGCCAGCCAGGAUGGUGAGCCACCCGGGGCUGGGAGGCAAGAGGCCCGUCUGCCUCUCAUUUCACACGCUCCAUAGGUGGCCGAGCCACUAUUAGCCGGGAUUGAAGAGGGAGGGACAGUGGGUAGGAGUAAUGCCCUGAACUGAAAUCGGGUGGUGGGACCCACAACCUUGCUCUGUAGCAGGGAGGUGGCAGCAGUGGGCAAGGCCAUGAGAGAUGGGGCCAGAUGGCAGAAGGCCAGGAAUAGUAGCCUGAGGGUGGCGGAGCUUUAACCCUUGUCUGAGAAGCCCAGUGGGACCGCAGGAGGCGGGGAGGUGACAGGGCCCAGGGUCUGACCAGGCCCAGCGAUGACUGUGGCAGGGUCCUGCAGGCCAGGGACUCCUCGCAAUGACAUGACAUGGGGUGUUGAGACCUAUAAUUGCACAUUUUCAACUCUGUGCAAAGACUUCUGGGAAAGAGGUUUCUGAGUGACAUUUCUCCCAGAAGGCCGUGGCUCUCGUGCCUGCUCACUGGUAGGCAUAAAGAGGAGGUACACAGGUGUCAAGAGGGGGUCAUUUGCUGGCUGUGGACCUGGGAAGGUUCAGUUGAGCAUCAGGAGGUGGGACUUUGGUGGAGGACGCUGAGGGCAGGAGGCCAGGCACAGUCCAGCCCAGCUCUCAACCCCUCAGGGUGGUUCUCAUCGCCAAGGUCAGCUGUGGAAGCCCCUCAUGGCCCCGUCCUCUGCGCCUGAAAUCGUCACUGGUCAGGACCAAACCGCCUCCUCCCUUGUCAUUCGCAGCCUCCUGAGCCCACCUCUGCCCCCACCCCUCCCGGUGGUCCCUGAGGGGCCCCCUGCUUCCUCAUCUCUUGGAGCGGGCACCACCCCACCCUUCCUCUGAGGUGGGGUCUCACUGUGAC
Molecule: long non-coding RNA, 988 nt
Filed under: Marmota monax (woodchuck)
Lineage: Eukaryota; Metazoa; Chordata; Mammalia; Rodentia; Sciuridae
Source: RNAcentral